Long non-coding RNA from Triticum aestivum (bread wheat), 2520 nucleotides. RefSeq lists it as uncharacterized. The record is from RefSeq and is a predicted model, not a curated record. The transcript has 3 exons. Lineage: Eukaryota; Viridiplantae; Streptophyta; Magnoliopsida; Poales; Poaceae.
UGAAAAAAAAACGUCCCCGACUCCACCCCUCCCCAGCCACCACAGAACUCCUCCCUGUUCCCAUCGCUGCCGCCCGCCGCUCCUCCUCUCCUCUGUUACCCCGUCGCGAGGAACCAACCUCCCGAAGCAACCGGAGCGGCAAGCGGCGGAAGAAUGGAGAGAUGGCGUCUACGGCGACGACGAAGGAGAUGGGGCGGGCGUCCUACAUCUGGAUCAAGCACGAGGAGGAGCGGCGCAAGGCUUCCUGGAAGGAGCCCGAGGCCCGGGUCUUCUCCGCCACCACGCGCACUGAUGUCGCCGCGCUCCUCGGCGAGCCCCGCGACCAGAUCCUCGUCGGUCGUGCCUCCUUCGCCGACCUCGCCGCACAGCAGUCCGGCUGCUGGGGAGUGAAACGUGCAUAGAUGAGAUUCUCCAGAUUGUUUUCUUCUCUCUCCCUAGCAAUCCUUCUUGCUUCCCCUCUUGUGUCUCUCGAUGCUACUAUAUCUAUAUGCAGGUUUUGACAUGCCUUUUGUUUGUGUUGGCAGGAACUCCAGUUCACGCUCUGUUUUGGUGGAUCUCACUACGCUCAGGAGGUGUUCGACGAAAUGCAAAGCCAGAGAAAAACUAGAGAUGAGACACAGGUUCAGUUUUCUCUUCAGGCAAGGAAUGCCUUUCUCUCUUUUGCUCUGGCCAGCAACAUAGUCGGCUCCCUCUCUUUUGUGUGCAGUUACACAAAUACACACAUGUAUGGCCUGCAGCCAUGCUCAGACAUCCUCAGCACACAUAGACGUCGCUACAGUGCAGGGACACACACAUCAGCCUACUGUCAACUCCGCAUGUUACUAGACACGAGCAUGGUCUAUACACUGUCUAGAUUGCAACAAGGAUUACAUUAACAGUUUGAACCGAGCUUGAUUUUUUUGGUUAAGAUUCAAUGAUGGUUUGGUGUUACUCUAUUUUUACUAUUGUUUCCUUAUCAAUAUUUCACUGCUGUGAUAGUGAAACAUUUAUCUAUUACAUACUUUUUCGUUGACAGCCGAAUGUGCUGUUUGAACUGUUUUCCCUAGAUGAAGGAAGUACAGUUUGCAUGUACUAAUUUUUUACUGUUAGUUCCAGAUUAUCCCCUUUCCUGUGUGCAUUUACUAGAUGCUUAAAUUAAUAUAUGGAUCAUCUUCGGUCCAGCAUGAUCUAUUUAGCAAAUUAAAAUUUCUCAUCCAGUGUUCAGUUAUUUUCUCAAUUUAUUUGCUGCUCAUGUAUGUGUUAACCUGUACUGAGAUUGUUUAUUAUAUAUAUGUCUAUGUCCAGCUUCUGUAAUGUCAUGCAUCUAUUUAGGGAAGUCAUUCUAGUUCUUGUCCCUGGAGACUUCUCAAGUGCAACUUACGGGUAUCUUGAACCAUCAACACCGCCUCCAGCUGACACCACCCUAGGCUCCGGGGAGUACACCGGGCCACUGACAGCUGCGUAGGUGAUGGCAGCGGGCGGGGCUGGUCUUCUUCUUGGCGCACGUGUGUUACCUCUCCAAGAUCCAUGAGCUUGGUGACACGUUGCUCAUCCUCUGAUGCUCGCUUGCUCACCCUGCUCGGCAUCUACCACCAUGCCAUCAUCAUUGUCAUGCUACCUCUGGCUCGCCACUGGGAUGUAGUUCUCAUGUGGAGUUGUUUGGAUGUGCGUGCAGGUGCAAGAAAUUCAGGAAGUUGGGCAAAGUAGGGUCGUUCUGGAGGCCAUCACCGUUGUGCAUCACCGACCAGGCAACCUCGAAGCAUGCUACCUUCUUGGAAAUUAUCCGAUUGUAUUUCUGGGGAGCCGGGAGGCAGGAGCAACGCUGGUGAUGACCCCGACGGUGGGUGACACCGCCGGGAGGCAAUGCACUCCCUGGUUGUCGUUCAAUUCAUCAGCAUUGGUGCCACCAAGGACGAUCACAACAAAUGAUAUUUUUCCUUCGAUUUUCUUUCUAACGGUGGUGGAUUGGUUGCUCCUUGGUGCGUGGAUUUUUAAAUGUAGGCUGCUGGUGAGGAAACAAAGUUGGUGAAAAUAUCAAAGCUGGACAAAAAUAAUAGAAACAUUAAGCGCAGAAUAUGCUGUACCUAAAUUAGCUGCCUGGAAACAUAGGGCCUGUGCUAAAUGACUGAAGGGUGAGCAACAACUUCGAGCCGAGAAUUGGAGACUGGCAAGAUAGAGUUCGGCCAUAGUGUACUGCCUGGAAAGGAAGGCAUUGCACUGGAGGGUGGCGCAGGUGGUAAUGGAGGAGGCGGCGAUGAGUAUUGCGUCAGGCGGCAAUCGGAUUUAAGCGUGGAAGAUAUUGGCAUCGAUAUGAGAGUGGGCGAGAGCCAUAGGAAAAAGGAUCUGGUGAAGAAAGAACAUAAGAGAUGGGUGUGGGUCAGUGGGUGUUAUCGGCCUGGCUAGGCCAACGUGGUACAUGCAAUCUUUUUUUUUCUUUUCUGAGUUGUACUUGGCUAAAUCUCACUAUAUUUGUACGUGUUCAUAUGUCAUUUGUUUUUCAAAACAAAAUAAAUAAAGAAAAUGUAGAAUAAUGUAAAAUCA